This 329-nucleotide unclassified non-coding RNA is filed under the name soil metagenome. Its description in RNAcentral is "partial contains 5.8S ribosomal RNA, internal transcribed spacer 2, and large subunit ribosomal RNA". The stretch from base 1 to 120 matches the Rfam family "5.8S ribosomal RNA", at positions 35 to 154 of the family's 154-position model. The record is from RNAcentral.
GAUGAAGAACGCAGUGAAAUGCGAUAAGUAAUGUGAAUUGUAGAAUUCAGUGAAUCAUCGAAUCUUUGAACGCACAUUGCGCCCCUUGGUAUUCCGAGGGGCAUGCCUGUUCGAGCGUCAUUAUAACCCCUCAAGCUCAGCUUGGUGUUGGGGCCUGCUGCACUGGCAGCCCUUAAAAUCAGUGGCGGCGCCAUCUGGCUCUAAGCGUAGUAAUUCUUCUCGCUAUGGAGUCCUGGUGGAUGCUUGCCAUCAACCCCCAAUUUUUCUAUGGUUGACCUCGGAUCAGGUAGGGAUACCCGCUGAACUUAAGCAUAUCAAUAAGCGGAGGA